AAUGUCAUCUAGGUUUGAUUUUAAAAUGCAAUGCUUUUUUUAAAUCUUUCAGCUCCAGAACUUGCCAGUCAAGAUGAAAAACUUCUUCUAAUGGAAUCCAGCUUGAAAGGAACUCAAGAGCAGCUAAGUGAGCAAAUAACAGAAACAGUUCGCCAAGAACAGAACAGUAGAAAAUCACAGACAGAGCUGAAGACCCUGAGAGAACGUAUUAUAGCUUCUGAAGAAGGAAUUAGGGAUUACAAAGACAUGCUUAAAAAACUUCCAUUACAAUUAACAGCAUCAAAGACAGCUCAACAGCAAAAGCUUCAUGGAGCUCUCAACAGGCAGCAGUUAGAACCAGUAUCAGCCAUUGAACAAGUAAACAGUCUGAAACAACAGUCAUGUGUUUGCUAG
RNAcentral lists this long non-coding RNA (393 nucleotides) under Chrysemys picta bellii (western painted turtle). RNAcentral's name for it is "lncRNA (ENSCPBG00000007158.1)". Lineage: Eukaryota; Metazoa; Chordata; Testudines; Emydidae. The record is from RNAcentral.